RNAcentral lists this ribosomal RNA (660 nucleotides) under uncultured bacterium. RNAcentral describes it as "bacterial SSU rRNA". It matches the Rfam family "Bacterial small subunit ribosomal RNA", at positions 94 to 788 of the family's 1533-position model. The record is from RNAcentral.
AGUGGCGGACGGGUGAGUAACGCGUGAGAAUCUGCCUUGGGGUCGGGGACAACCACUGGAAACGGUGGCUAAUACCGGAUAAGCCGAUUGGUGAAAGAUUUAUUGCCCGAAGAGGAGCUCGCGUCCGAUUAGCUAGUUGGUGAGGUAAGAGCUCACCAAGGCAGCGAUCAGUAGCUGGUCUGAGAGGACGAUCAGCCACACUGGGACUGAGACACGGCCCAGACUCCUACGGGAGGCAGCAGUGGGGAAUUUUCCGCAAUGGGCGAAAGCCUGACGGAGCAAGACCGCGUGAGGGAGGAAGGCUCUUGGGUUGUAAACCUCUUUUCUCAGGGAAGAAGCUCUGACGGUACCUGAGGAAUCAGCCUCGGCUAACUCCGUGCCAGCAGCCGCGGUAAUACGGAGGAGGCAAGCGUUAUCCGGAAUUAUUGGGCGUAAAGCGUCCGCAGGUGGCGAUUCAAGUCUGCUGUCAAAGCACGGGGCUUAACUCCGUAAAGGCAGUGGAAACUGAAUAGCUAGAGUGCCGUAGGGGUAGAGGGAAUUCCCGGUGUAGCGGUGAAAUGCGUAGAGAUCGGGAAGAACAUCGGUGGCGAAAGCGCUCUACUGGACGGCAACUGAUACUCAGGGACGAAAGCUAGGGGAGCGAAUGGGAUUAGAUACCCC